CCGGAGGAAGAGAAAGCAAAUGCGAUUCCCUGAGUAGCGGCGAGCGAAACGGGAACAGCCCAAACCAAGAGGCUUGCCUCUUGGGGUUGUAGGACACUCUAUACGGAGUUACAAAGGAACGAUAUAAGCGAAGAGGUCUGGAAAGGCCCGCCAAAGAAGGUAACAGCCCUGUAACUGAAAUGUUGUUCUCUCCAGAGUGGAUCCUGAGUACGGCGGAACACGUGAAAUUCCGUCGGAAUCCGGGAGGACCAUCUCCCAAGGCUAAAUACUCCCUAGUGACCGAUAGUGAACCAGUACCGUGAGGGAAAGGUGAAAAGCACCCCGGAAGGGGAGUGAAAUAGAUCCUGAAACCGUGUGCCCACAAGUAGUCAGAGCCCGUUAAAGGGUGAUGGCGUGCCUUUUGUAGAAUGAACCGGCGAGUUACGAUCCCGUGCAAGGUUAAGCAGAAGAUGCGGAGCCGCAGCGAAAGCGAGUCUGAAUAGGGCGCAUGAGUACGUGGUCGUAGACCCGAAACCAGGUGAUCUACCCAUGUCCAGGGUGAAGUUCAGGUAACACUGAAUGGAGGCCCGAACCCACGCACGUUGAAAAGUGCGGGGAUGAGGUGUGGGUAGGGGUGAAAUGCCAAUCGAACCUGGAGAUAGCUGGUUCUCUCCGAAAUAGCUUUAGGGCUAGCCUCAAGGUAA
Molecule: ribosomal RNA, 683 nt
Filed under: Bacillus pumilus
Lineage: Bacteria; Bacillati; Bacillota; Bacilli; Caryophanales; Bacillaceae
Description: partial 23S ribosomal RNA
Rfam family: Bacterial large subunit ribosomal RNA
Source: RNAcentral